This is a long non-coding RNA of Phlebotomus papatasi, 353 nucleotides long. RefSeq lists it as uncharacterized. NCBI's taxonomy places the organism in Eukaryota, Metazoa, Arthropoda, Insecta, Diptera, Psychodidae. The transcript is spliced from 2 exons. The record is from RefSeq and is a predicted model, not a curated record.
AAGAAGAUGUGAAAUAAUAUGUCUCAGUUUUCAAUAAUUCAGCUUAGGAGCACCAUUCCAAUAUGCUGCAUCGAUUCUUUAUUCUAAUUCUGGCAGUGCUCUGCAUUUUGUGCGAGUUGCAAGCCCUACCUCAACCAAGUCCAAUGAAAUAUUGCCCAUAUAUUCUGCCACACCAAAUGCAACAAUAUUGCAAUUUCACAAGUGAUUAUAAAAAAUAAUUUUAAGUAUCAAUUUUAAGGUUAUAACUUUUAAUUCUUAGGUAAAUUUAUAUCAAAUAUUUACCUCAAAAAUCGAGAAAUGAUGUAUUAUACGUAAUUGAAAAUAAAUUUUGAUUUUUUUUUAAAUAACGUGAA